CAUCUAGCAGCAGAAUGGUCCCCAACUGCCCCUAUAUGCUUUCAUUUCAGCCAGAGAGGAUAACAUACAUUAGUAGCAACUGACUAUAUAUGGAGGAAAAGGAACAACGUUUAUAGACAGAAAGUAUAGAUAGGCACCUGUCAUUUCUAACACAUGCCAAAUGUCUCUGAACCCAUGCUUUCCCUAUAUGCUUUCAUUUGGAUUAAUGUAUAGUUAGGUGACCACUGCACCCAUUCUGUCCUGAGCUUCAUUAUUCUCUCCAACUACAGAGUAAGAGGAUUGGGGCUAAAAGACCAAGGAAAAAAGUGGGUGCGUAGAUCCACGGAGGGCCAAACUACAGGCUGCACUCAAAUACGCGAUUUGGCCCUUCCUUCCUUUGCAAGGGGACCCAGCUGGGAUCACAGUCCUGAUCACAGUCCCCAUGGCAGAUCACAGUCCCCAUGGCAGAGAAAAAGAGCUAAAAAAAACCCCACCCUCACAAUGCAGUCCCAACUGGGCCUUCCCACAAAUGCUAUUUUCUUUCCUUUUUUUAAGGCAUGCAAGGGCAAACGACAUGUUCAGCCUAUGAUGUAGUUAGAUGUUCCCAAGGACAAUAUCCGAGACAGUAGACGUUUACUAUUUACAUUGUGCAGAAGUAAAGGCAGGUUAGACUGAGUGUUGGACUCCGGCUGUGAAGACCCAGAUUUAAGUCUGCACUCAACCAUGAAGCUCUCUGGUGACCUAAAAUCUCUCAGCUCAACUUAUCUUGCAAGGUUAUUGUGAGUCUUAAAUAAGGAAAGUCCCAGUCAUGUAUGCCAGGCCUUGACCAUUUUUUUCUGUAUCUAGGAGCCAGCCCAAAAAUUUAGGAGCCAGACAAUGGACACUUGGGGGGAAAAAAUUACAGAAAUUAGUGAUGGACUUUGUGGGGGAUGGAUUGUAAAUGGGCUUCUCUUUACCCCUUUUACAAGGAACAUACUUCAAACAGGAUCAGGGCUACCUGGGAACAAUAAAGAUUUUAUUAAAUCACUCUACCUCUGAAUAUCUUAGUCUAGGCACCACAGUUCAGUUUCUAGCCAUCAUGGCUCCUUGAUGUCUCGGAUUUUUCAAGCCCUUAUGUAUGCCACCCUGAGCUCUUUGGAGGAAGGGUGAGAUGUAAAUUAUUUAUUAUUGAUAAUAAUAUGCUGUCAAAAAAUUAAACACGUAGAAAACCA
This is a long non-coding RNA of Hemicordylus capensis (graceful crag lizard), 1190 nucleotides long. RefSeq lists it as uncharacterized. The record is from RefSeq and is a predicted model, not a curated record. Lineage: Eukaryota; Metazoa; Chordata; Lepidosauria; Squamata; Cordylidae. The transcript has 2 exons.